UUGUACAACGCCCUUUGAUAGAUAUUUGUUCUUGAGCUUCUUCGUUUUUGCACCAAAAGACAAGCAGGAUGUCUUGCAGCUGCGGAUCAAGCUGCAACUGCGGCUCAAGCUGCAAGUGCGGGUAAGCUAGCUAGUCAUCACUCUCUUUACCUGGCUAAUCUCUUGUUUACUUAGUUUCUUUUCCUUUGAUUGAAUGAAUUCAAAUCAAAAAGUAUAUAGUUCGUUUGCUGUUCGUUUGUAGCUACUAUAUGUCUCUUCACAACAAACAUGGAAAACAUACAUCUGAACCUGUCCGGCUGAAGAAUAAUUAUUGAACUUCUCUACAACUAGUAUUAUAAGUUUGUUUGUUAAUUUUGGGUCCGUCCGUUGACUACCUGCAGCAAGAAGUACCCCGACCUGGAGGAGAAGAGCACCGCGGCGCAGGCCACCGUCGUCCUGGGUGUCGCCCCGGAGAAGACAGCUGCUGCCGAGUUCGAGGCCGCGGCGGAGUCCGGCGCCGAGACCUCCCACGGCUGCAGCUGCGGUGACAGCUGCAAGUGCAACCCCUGCAACUGCUGAUCGACCGACGACCACACAUGGGGAACGAAGACCGACGAUAUGCAUGCUGCUGCUUAUUUGAUGGUGAUAUCGAUCUUGUGCCGGCGACGUACGGUACUACUAGCUACUACACUACAUGUAGUGCUCUGCAAUUGUGUUAUUGUGUGUGACGUAUGUAACUGAUGGUUGAACAAUAAGGACGAGCUAGCUAUCUGCUAUGUAUUUCGAUCUGGCUCGCCAGCAUGCAUAUAUAUGCGAUCUAUAUAUCUGCCCUUGUGUGCCUGAUCGAGAGAGAGAGUAUACCUCUUUUGCUUAUUGGCCUUGGCGUCAGUCUUGUGCUCUUGCAUUUAAUUAUGUGCAUGUGUGUGUACUGUGUAUCCAUCUUGUGCUCAUACAUCGAUCUCUAUGUGUCUCUGUACGUAAUGACGAUAUGAUUUCGUCCAGGGUGAUUUAUAUAUAAAACUGGUAUGGUUUAUUUGCCUGAGUAUCUUCACCGUCAUCACAAGGAUCAAAAUAACAGAUUCGUUAUGUGACUGGAGAACAAGAAUAUUUCGCAGAAGCCACCAAAAUUCACUUCUUUUUCUUCAAAAUCUUUAGCGUGUGCGGUCUGGACUUGGUAGGAAAAACGUGUACUUCAUACCAUGCAUCCUAUAUACGAAUAUAAAUCCAGUAUAUAUCUUGGAGAUAGAGAUGUUAGGUAUGGCCAAUUCCAUUCACACACAAUAUUCUCUCGAUCGGUUGUUAGGUAUGGAGUAAAAGGUGCUAUGUUUAGUUACACUAUGGAAGUUGAUGUUUGAGAGCAUAGAUUAGAUAUAUAUAAGACGGAAGUAACUCUCACCUAUCGAGACUCGCAGAAAUUCUAUUUAUCUUCCGGCAAAUUUUUAUUUCUGCUUUCUUCCACUUUUUGUGCGGUGUUGAUGGUUUCAAGAUUCGUGCUGUCACACAACAGCUGGGGUAACCAGCUAAACAGUGAAGCACAGAAGCAAAGCGUCGUCUGGGCGCAGCCAGAACCACUCAGCACAACGCAACUACUCUCCAAAGAAAAGCUCAAAACGAACACCAAAAGUACCAUAAACACCACGUGCAGCAAGCUAAACAACAAAAGCUACACUAGACUAAAGCAGAACACGUCUCCAGAACAGCCAAAUCUUCAUCUUCUGCACCUUAUCAUCCAAAAAUCUAACGAUAUCUUGAUCCUUCAAAAGUAUGCGCCAUUCUACAUGAGAAUGCAAAUUUUGUGAAAAACUUCAUUAGUGAUUUCAGAAACUUCUUUUCAGUCCCCAUCUUAUCCCCAACAUUCCAAAGACUCCAUAAGAUCACAAAAAAACAUAAACGGUUUGAUAUGAUGGUCUCUAACCCCUAAUUUGAUCCAAUGACAAAAAAAAACAUCAUGCAUAGAAACUGGACACCAAUUGCACCCCAGAGCUUCUUUAAAGCAAAACCACACCAUUCUAGAUAUAUGGCAAUUGAAGAAUAUAUGGUCAAAAGUCUCAUCCACCCUGCAUAAUAUACACCUUUUAUUUCCUUGUCAUUCUUUUUUCUUCAGAGUGACCCCUGUCUGAAGCCUAUCCUAUAUAGCCAUCCAGGCAAAAACUUUGCUCUUAUUUGGUAACCGACUACCCCAUAACUUUACCUUUCUUUUAUUGAUAAAUCCUCUAAAAGUUAGUCUUCUAUGCAUAGAACGAGUUGUGUACCUACCAGACUUGUUGUCAAGAAUCCACUCAAAAUGAUCACUCAAAAUGGACAUCCACUGUGCCUCCGCGCUUGCUCGCUCCCUCCAUUCCCCUCCCAUGCCUGCUCCUGGAACCCCACACCCUCUCCCAUCGACCCCACACCCACGGCGAGCUCCUCCCUCCCUCUCCUCUAGUAGCGGCAGUGGUGGGUUCCAGCAAGGUAUAGGCCUCCUCCUCUUUCUCCUCCUCCUAGAUUUAUGAUCAACGGCGGUAGUGGCUAGGGUUCUAGCGAGCUCUCCCCCUCUUUUCUUCUCCAACUCUAGCAGGUUUAGAAGGGCUCAGCCGGGAGAGGUAGGUAGGCUAGGUGGUGGGAAUGGUGGUUAGGCGGCUUAGGGGAGCUGACAAUGGUAGGUACGGUCGGGCCAGGUCACAGUGAGAGAGGCUCGUCGGAGUUGGAGAUGAUAAUGGCCGAGCUCGCCGGAGUUGGAGGAGAUGGCUGAUUGGGAGGGGGGGUAGGGCAAAGGAAGAAGGUCGCGCGGGCACGGUAGUCUCCACAAAGCUCCGGUGAGAACCUACCGCACCAUGGUGGUGUGCGGUGGGGCAGUGGCCCAUGAUGGAGGGCUUGGGAGGGGGACACCGGGCACAUGAAAGAACGACGAUGUGGAGGACGCUGGAGAUGGGGAGGGCGGCGUCCGGAAACAUAUGCAUGGAUCAGGAAUGCUCGUGCAUGAUGAAUAAUAGGUCCAGUGAUGACGCCUGAUAAAAAAAACGAACAAUUUUGCUCCAUACCGACUCAAACAGGAGCGGGCUGUAACUCAGAAGAUGCUGUAUAAAAAGAAACUGGGGCAAUUUCACCGAAUCCCAUAUUUGCUACUGUCAAAGACACGUGGGGUGGCACAUAUGUCAGUGAGACUUGGAUGGCAAAUAAAUCUAGGAUUAAAAGAAUUCAGUGAUGAAUAUCUAAUUACCCCUUUCCUACUGUCGUCAGUGCCACUAACCAAGACACGAAGUCAACUAGCCUAAAAACUGCGAUGCUUAAUCCAUGUUACAACACUAUGUAUUAUGUAUAUGACCAUAUAGUAAACUGACAAGUAAAGCUAAGCUGCAUCUCCCAUGUACUCUGCUGUUACAGCGAAACUAUGAUAGGAAGCUAUGGCAUCAUCGCAGCUCACUCCCUGACAAGUAAAUUAUUAUUAAGCUGCAUCGCCCAUGUAUGUCAUCAACAUCCAAUGAUUGCAACUCCCUUCCACCCAAGAAACUAAAAAUAGCAGCAAGAACCAGAGCAUCAAUGACACUUUGCUUUGCCACAUUUCAUAUCUCUGAGAAAAGAAACCAUGUUCUCUGCACUAUACCUUAACUUCAGACCUUUGACACUGCAAUGGCAAAACACAUGUCAGAGAGUUAAAAGAUCAGCUCAACAUGGUUAGUAUUGCAUAACAAGAUCAACAGGGAACACAGCAAAUGUUCAAAGUAAAUUGGUUCAUGUAAAAAUAAAUAAUUUCAGAACUCAGGCAAAAACAUCUUGUUCAGGGGAAAUGUAGCACAAGAAUAAGACAACAAGUACCUGCUAAUUCUGUACAAACUAGAGAAGAAGAGGUUGCUUUCGACUAGAACUGAACUUCACAUGUUGCCUUAUUGUGCCCUGUUUGUUUGCACCUGCUACAGAGUCGUACGAGAGUACUUAUCUUGUUGGAGUUAGACCGCUUCCUUCUUGGUUUAUCUGAUGAGCGCUGCUUGGGAGGCAGUGGGAGUAGAUUCGCACCAGCACUAAAAUCAACACUAUCCAUGUCAGGUAUUGGGAAGAUUAUUCCUGAGUAUGUCAGAUGGUAGCUUUCUAUUCUAAAGAACUUUGGGCAGUAGUCAUAUAAAUUGCGACCAAGCCUGUUGAACACAGCAAUGGCAUGCAUGCAGGGGAGGCCAGAGAGCUGCCACCGCCGGCAUGUGCAUUCCCAAUUCCCAAUAUUAACUACAAAAAUUGCAUUGCCCCUCACUUCAAACACAGUCUCAGAAGAACACAGAACAGUCAUUUUGCCAGCCUUCAGCAUCUCAUCCUGCACUUUGUAUUCCAUAGUUGGUGUUAAAGGCCCUUCCCACGCCUUGCAAGCUUCAAGCCUUGAUUCUAUUAUUUCCUUAAUCUUCAUUCUCAGUGAGUCUACCAUCAGCACUAUGGAACUCUCCUUCUUGGUUGGUAUCCAGUUAUCAAAAGCAUCAGCAAUGUUCAAGGAGAAAUUAUCAUACCGGCAGCCUCGGAAAAUGGCAUCUGACCAAUGCUCUGGCUUGCUCGCUAUUAUCCAGUCAGCAGCUUCACUGGAUAUAUUCCUUAUGCUCUCGAUGGAUGCAUUAAAAUCCUCGAUGUUGCACGCUUGGGCUGCACGAGUGAAAUCCUCAACCAUCCCCUCCCUUAUUUGUAGUGACCAUGGUCCCUUCCUCAGCUCUCCUUUAAAUUCCUCAAUGAUAUGAUGCAAACAGAAAGCAUGUUUACCAUCCUCAAACACGUGAGAAACAGCAGCAUCCAGACCCAUUUGUCCAUUGGACAAGAAUGUCAUGCCAUUGCAAGGGUAGUUGUGAGUUUGGAGGGCUAUUUUCAGAUGCAUUAAGAACCAACCCCAGCUAUCAUAAUUUUCAUCUUCAACCACAUUAAAUGCUAACGGAAAGACACCAUCGUCUGCAUCAAUGGCAGCAGCCACAAGCAACUUGUAAUCAUUCGUUGCUUUCAGUGGGACUUUGUCCAGAAAUAAGAGGGGCCUGCACCCAUUUACAAAGCCAUGCAAACAAGCAUGGAAUGCAACAAAAAAGCGGCGGUAUUUCAUAUCCACCACUGGAGACAACACACUUAUACUUCCUGGGUUGGUCUCCUCAAGCCUCUGACAAUACCAGGGUAACUGAUCGCGAGUCUCCCUGAUAGCAUGAUAAAUCUCUUUCUCUGCUACUUCUUUGCCUCGCCAAACCUGUGAAUAUGUUAGUGUAACUCCGUAUUCUUCAAACAAUUCCUUUACAAGUUCCUUUGGCUUAAACUUUGGGUUAUCAUGCAGCUUCUCCUUAAUGAUAGUAGUCAACCACUGUCUUGUUGCUCGACGCUGACCCUCUCCACUUCCUCCGCUACAAGUAUGUUCAUCUGUCAUUCUCUUGAUAACAAAUUUCUUGUUACGAGAUGAUUCAGACGCAUGCAACCUCCAGGUGCAGCCUCCUUCUGCAGCACAUUUUACAGUGACGCGACUGGUUUCAUUUUUUAUGAAUCGGUACACAAAUCCUUUCCCAAUAGCAUACUUGCACAACUGAGCACGGAAAUCUUUCACAUUAUCAAAUUCUUGACCAACUCCUUUGAUAAUGUCAUCCCACAAUGCAAUAGGAUUGUUAGGUCCCUGAGGCUCAUGCAUGAUCUCAGAACCAACAUAUGGAAUGAAUGCAUCAUCAAACAGACUAACUGCUUCCCUGAAAAAAAAAUCAUACAAAAUUGACAAAAAUCUCUCAAAAAAAGUAAUCCUUUUUAGCAAACAAUAUGGAAAGAGAUAUGAAUGUGUAACAAGUUACCUGGGGAUAUUAUCAACAAGAGCAAGCUUUUGCUGAUCAAGAAUAUCUGAUGUGAAGGAAGCGCCUCCAGCUGUGGUGGUAAAUGCGAUGUCAUUCCCAAAUUCCAACUGAAAAACCCUAGUUUUGAUCAAGAUGAAAACGGUAACUGGGAGUGGACAAUGUAGUAAAAAAAAUACCAUUGACUUAUGAACAAAGUAAAUAAUAGUACUGCAAUAGUGUAAUAGGAUAUAGUAACAGAACUGCAAAAUAGACAUUCAAGAUGAACUAGACCACAUGUCCACUGGGGACUUUAUUUGAU
This 6039-nucleotide long non-coding RNA is filed under the name Sorghum bicolor (sorghum). RNAcentral's name for it is "long non-coding RNA (SBIC_LNC009771)". Lineage: Eukaryota; Viridiplantae; Streptophyta; Magnoliopsida; Poales; Poaceae. The record is from RNAcentral.